This 254-nucleotide ribosomal RNA is filed under the name uncultured bacterium. Its description in RNAcentral is "partial 16S ribosomal RNA". It matches the Rfam family "Bacterial small subunit ribosomal RNA", at positions 524 to 776 of the family's 1533-position model. The record is from RNAcentral.
UACGUAGGGUGCGAGCGUUGUCCGGAAUUAUUGGGCGUAAAGAGCUCGUAGGCGGUUCAGUAAGUCAGGUGUGAAAUCUUUGGGCUUAACCCAAAGCGUGCACUUGAUACUGCUGUGACUUGAGUUCGGUAGGGGAGUGGGGAAUUCCUAGUGUAGCGGUGAAAUGCGCAGAUAUUAGGAGGAACACCGGUGGCGAAGGCGCCACUCUGGGCCGGUACUGACGCUGAGACGCGAAAGCGUGGGGAGCAAACAGG